RNAcentral lists this ribosomal RNA (252 nucleotides) under uncultured bacterium. RNAcentral describes it as "partial 16S ribosomal RNA". It matches the Rfam family "Bacterial small subunit ribosomal RNA", at positions 524 to 775 of the family's 1533-position model. The record is from RNAcentral.
UACGUAGGGCGCAAGCGUUGUCCGGAAUUAUUGGGCGUAAAGAGCUCGUAGGCGGCUUGUCACGUCGGGUGUGAAAGCCCGGGGCUUAACCCCGGGUCUGCAUUCGAUACGGGCUGGCUAGAGUGUGGUAGGGGAGAUCGGAAUUCCUGGUGUAGCGGUGAAAUGCGCAGAUAUCAGGAGGAACACCGGUGGCGAAGGCGGAUCUCUGGGCCGAUACUGACGCUGAGGAGCGAAAGCGUGGGGAGCGAACGG